Molecule: long non-coding RNA, 1617 nt
Organism: Anastrepha ludens (Mexican fruit fly)
Lineage: Eukaryota; Metazoa; Arthropoda; Insecta; Diptera; Tephritidae
Exons: 2
Source: RefSeq, a predicted model, not a curated record
CACUCUUGCAUAGCUGGUUGACUGCUUUCACUGGUGUUAUGUGUGGCGUUGUACGGGCAUACGCCAGGACUAGUCUACGGUGAAUAUUCGAUGAAAGCUGACCAGUGGCAACGGCUGCCACCGCACGACGCCAGUUUGACGCAAAAGGCGCAUAAGCAAACCGGUAUUAAUAUUUUUAUAGCCCAGAUAAGGGAAUAAAUAUAAAGCAAAAUAAGUUUCAAAGUUGAAUUGAAAGCAAACAUGUGGUAAUAAUUUGCUUGCUAAUUUGUUUACUAGCGGCCAAGUGAAGUUGAAGAAUUGUAAAUAAAUUUAUAUGAGCAAUUUAGUGUGCUAGCAAACCAACAAGGAGUAGAAAUACGCAAAACAAAAAAAAAAUAAAGUUAAAAAUAAAAUAAAAAUCUAAUGCACGUGCAAAUACUUGUCAGGAUUACGCUGUAGUAGUGUAUGUGCGCGCGCGUGUGCAGGUGUAUGUGUUUGUAUGCUUGCCCAUAAUAUUUCGGGUCUAACUUGCGUGCGAGUGCGUUCUACUUGCUUGUUUGCGCUUGAAGCGGUGCAGUACGAAGCAAACACAUUUCACCUGUUUCAAGCGAAAAAUCACGUAAACGUCAGCGAUGGCAUGUGUCAACUUCAACUUGAAAUGAGGCAGUGAAAUUGGUAAAAAGCAGAAAGCGCACAAAAGUAUAAACCUAAAAAAUAUGAACACACAAAAAUGUUCUGUUUGCAAAAAACAUAAAAAAGGCAAGAAAUAACAAAAGUAAGAAAUGCUACUUGACACCUUUUUCGCGAGCAUAAAUCAAAUAGUACAUCCGUUUGCGUGUCACGCGUUGCACGAUUACAAAAUAGACCAGCAGAAGCAUACAUCUGCGGAGCUUUAGCAAAAAAAAAGUGUGCUACAAUUGUACAAUUCACAGUCACUUUUCCAUUUACAUUCCGAUUCAUAUUCGCAUUCGUAAUCGCAAUCGCAUAUUCGUGUUGCUGCCGUUCCGGUUGUUGCAACGCCAUGAAAUGCAUACAAAGAAAAUUUGCAUAUAUUAUUCAUAAACUCAAAUACUUGUGAGAGAAACAACAAUGACAACUAUUGCUACUAAAACAGCAAACACGGUGAGUGCAAUGCCAGCGAACGAAAAUAAAAAAAGAGAAAAGUUAAAAAAAAAAUAUUAAAAAAGGAAACAAAUAAAUAGAAAGGCGAAUUUCAAGUGUCGCGCCCGUAAGCAGUUGUUUUCAUUGCAUACUUUACUGAGUCCGGUCUGCUUGUUGCCUUUCACAUAACUACUAUACACACACAUACAUGAGUGCAUACCUACACCUUUGUAGAGAAAAACGUGGCUUGUUGUUAACCUAAAUAUUCACUGCACGAGAAUAAAAAGUAUAAAAAAUAGUAAUAAUAGCAGAAAUUCAAAAAGCGGUGCAGUUGAAAGUGUCAUUGCCAUUUGUGUUGUUAGGUGGUGCAAAAAAAGAAAUAUAGAAUUUAUAUGAAAAUAAAUAUUCAAAACUCAGAAAAGAGGAAACAAGAGGUAUAUACAUAUGUGUUUGUAUAAAUAUAUAAAAGAAUACAUUUCUACGUAAGUUGUAUGCGAAUUUCACAUUAAAUUGAGUUUAAACAAAAAAAAAAAAAAA